ACGGGUGAGUAAUGCCUAGGAAUCUGCCUGGUAGUGGGGGACAACGUUUCGAAAGGAACGCUAAUACCGCAUACGUCCUACGGGAGAAAGCAGGGGACCUUCGGGCCUUGCGCUAUCAGAUGAGCCUAGGUCGGAUUAGCUAGUUGGUGAGGUAAUGGCUCACCAAGGCGACGAUCCGUAACUGGUCUGAGAGGAUGAUCAGUCACACUGGAACUGAGACACGGUCCAGACUCCUACGGGAGGCAGCAGUGGGGAAUAUUGGACAAUGGGCGAAAGCCUGAUCCAGCCAUGCCGCGUGUGUGAAGAAGGUCUUCGGAUUGUAAAGCACUUUAAGUUGGGAGGAAGGGUUGUAGAUUAAUACUCUGCAAUUUUGACGUUACCGACAGAAUAAGCACCGGCUAACUCUGUGCCAGCAGCCGCGGUAAUACAGAGGGUGCAAGCGUUAAUCGGAAUUACUGGGCGUAAAGCGCGCGUAGGUGGUUCGUUAAGUUGGAUGUGAAAUCCCCGGGCUCAACCUGGGAACUGCAUCCAAAACUGGCGAGCUAGAGUAUGGUAGAGGGUGGUGGGAAUUUCCUGUGUAGCGGUG
This 586-nucleotide ribosomal RNA is filed under the name Pseudomonas sp. StFRB200. RNAcentral describes it as "bacterial SSU rRNA". It matches the Rfam family "Bacterial small subunit ribosomal RNA", at positions 102 to 683 of the family's 1533-position model. Lineage: Bacteria; Pseudomonadati; Pseudomonadota; Gammaproteobacteria; Pseudomonadales; Pseudomonadaceae. The record is from RNAcentral.